GUGGGGAAUCUUCCACAAUGGACGAAAGUCUGAUGGAGCAACGACGCGUGAGUGAAGAAGGGUUUCGGCUCGUAAAGCUCUGUUGUCGGGGACGAAUGUGCAGUAUUUGAAUAAAGUAGUGCAAUGACGGUACCUGACGAGGAAGCCACGGCUAACUACGUGCCAGCAGCCGCGGUAAUACGUAGGUGGCAAGCGUUGUCCGGAAUUAUUGGGCGUAAAGGGAGCGCAGGCGGGAAGGUAAGUCGGUCUUAAAAGUGCGGGGCUCAACCCCGUGAUGGGAUCGAAACUAUCUUUCUUGAGUGCAGGAGAGGAAAGUGGAAUUCCUAGUGUAGCGGUGAAAUGCGUAGAUAUUAGGAGGAACACCAGUGGCGAAGGCGACUUUCUGGACUGUAACUGACGCUGAGGCUCGAAAGCCAGGGGAGCGAACGGGAUUAGAAACCCGGGUAGUCC
RNAcentral lists this ribosomal RNA (450 nucleotides) under uncultured bacterium. RNAcentral's name for it is "partial 16S ribosomal RNA". It matches the Rfam family "Bacterial small subunit ribosomal RNA", at positions 354 to 796 of the family's 1533-position model. The record is from RNAcentral.